RNAcentral lists this ribosomal RNA (366 nucleotides) under uncultured bacterium. RNAcentral describes it as "bacterial SSU rRNA". It matches the Rfam family "Bacterial small subunit ribosomal RNA", at positions 1017 to 1383 of the family's 1533-position model. The record is from RNAcentral.
CCUUCGGGGGAGCUCUGAGACAGGGGGUGCAUGGUUGUCGUCAGCUCGUGUCGUGAGAUGUUGGGUUAAGUCCCGCAACGAGCGCAACCCCUGUUGUUAGUUGCUACCAUUAAGUUGAGCACUCUAACGAGACUGCCGAGGUUAACUCGGAGGAAGGUGGGGAUGACGUCAAAUCAUCAUGCCCCUUAUGCCUUGGGCUACACACGUGCUACAAUGGCCGGUACAAAAUGAACCAAGACCGCAAGGUGGAGCAAAUCACAAAAACCGGUCCCAGUUCGGAUUGUAGGCUGCAACUCGCCUACAUGAAGCUGGAGUUGCUAGUAAUCGCGAAUCAGCAUGUCGCGGUGAAUGCGUUCCCGGGCCUUG